Molecule: ribosomal RNA, 388 nt
Filed under: uncultured bacterium
Lineage: Bacteria
Description: bacterial SSU rRNA
Rfam family: Bacterial small subunit ribosomal RNA
Source: RNAcentral
AUUGAACGCUGGCGGCAUGCCUUACACAUGCAAGUCGAACGGCAGCACGGGAGCAAUCCUGGUGGCGAGUGGCGAACGGGUGAGUAAUAUAUCGGAACGUGCCCAGUCGUGGGGGAUAACGUAGCGAAAGCUACGCUAAUACCGCAUACGAUCUAUGGAUGAAAGCGGGGGAUCGCAAGACCUCGCGCGAUUGGAGCGGCCGAUAUCAGAUUAGGUAGUUGGUGAGGUAAAGGGCUCACCAAGCCGACGAUCUGUAGCUGGUCUGAGAGGACGACCAGCCACACUGGGACUGAGACACGGCCCAGACUCCUACGGGAGGCAGCAGUGGGGAAUUUUGGGACAAUGGGCGCAAGCCUGAUCCAGCAAUGCCGCGUGCAGGAUGAAGGCC